GAGAGAGAAAGAGCCACCGCCGGCCACCGGAUUUUGUCACUGUUCCGGCCGAGUUACUGUACACGCGCCGGACAGAAAGCUUGCCCACCUCAUUUCCGGCAAAACCUCCAAAUUUCACGGCGAACGGCCGCCGGACGCGCCCGGAUCGGACGUCCGAAGUUUGGCGGCGAUUUUUCCCCUCCACCGCCGGCCACCGCGAAUCGGCACUAUUCCGGCCGAUAAACAGUACACGCGCCUGACAGCCUUGAUCCUCUCCUCAAGUCUGGCCUACCCACCAAAAAGCACGACCAUCGGACCACCGACGCGCCGGGAUCGGAGCGUUUUCCGGCGAGGGGUCAAAAAUCUUCAAACGGUGAUUUCUCCGCCGUCCGACCUCCGUUUUGCUCACCGUCGGUCUCGUUGGAUUGCUCUCCUCACGAUCUACAAAUCUGCAAAAUUUCACAGCAAACGGCCACCGUCGGAAAUUACUGUUCCGGCGACGGUUGCCGGUGACGUGGCGGCCCGCCGGAAAUUAUUGUUCCGGCGAGUACCCCGAAAAUUCCGGCCAGCUCCAGUCCGCAGUGUUCGACCUCCUGAACCCAAAUCCGACUUUCGUUUCCACCAAUUCGCGACGGUUUGGGAGAAUUGCGGAGCCGAAACCCGAAAAGCUUCCCGAUAAAAUUCCGACCCCGUCGGGUACGAUCAUCGGAAAUUAAGACCGGAUCUGUGAUUAGCAUCACUCGAGCUUCGAUUCGGUGCACGUGCAAGUAGCGGAGUCGAUCCUGCGGAGGAUCUUGAUUGAGAUACGUGCACAAGUGUGCACACGGUUGUGAUUAGCGCGCAGGUGGGUGUGAUUAGCGCGCAGGUGAUGUGAUUAGCGCGCAGGUGGGUGUGAGUAGCGCGCGGUUGAUAUUAUGAGAGUGUCCUGUGGAUGCCAUCGGAGAGGGCGGCCACCCCCCUUUGGCCGGGACACCAGGUUAGCAGCGGCGCAGUGGGACGCCACGCGACCGUAUGCCGGUUUCUUUCUAUAACCUCCUGUCUGGCGGUACCUUGGGACGCUGGGUACUGUUGGCGCCACUGGUAUAUAGUGGGUGCAUCAAAUUAUUUUCAGAACUGUGUUUUAAAAAUAAAAUGUUAAUGAAAAAUAUAAUUGUUACCGCUUCUGGUAUUUAAUUGAUGUCUUGGUUUUCGGGAAAUAUGAAUAAAGGGUUUUGUGAAAAUGUUUUAAAAGGGGAACCUUUCCAACUGAGAGAAUUGUAAGGGUUUUGAGAGACAUUAUUAUUUCCAAAUAAUUAUUAUUUAUAUACCUAUUACCGUGGUAUGAUAGUGUAGAGU
Ziziphus jujuba (common jujube) is the source of this 1314-nucleotide long non-coding RNA. RefSeq lists it as uncharacterized. The record is from RefSeq and is a predicted model, not a curated record. NCBI's taxonomy places the organism in Eukaryota, Viridiplantae, Streptophyta, Magnoliopsida, Rosales, Rhamnaceae. The transcript is spliced from 3 exons.